This is a regulatory RNA element of Firmicutes bacterium CAG:882, 163 nucleotides long. The record is from Rfam. NCBI's taxonomy places the organism in Bacteria, Bacillati, Bacillota.
UAUGGGAGAAGCUUAGCGUUUCGACAUUCUGCCGAAGUACCAGCAAUUUCCAACACGAUGUUGGAAAAGAUGCAAUGGAGCCACGGAUGGCGACUUUGCAUCGCUUGCGUCCCACUAUCAUAUUUUCCCGCAGAAUGUCUGAAACAGCUUAGCUUCGUACAUU